This 305-nucleotide ribosomal RNA is filed under the name uncultured bacterium. RNAcentral's name for it is "bacterial SSU rRNA". It matches the Rfam family "Bacterial small subunit ribosomal RNA", at positions 338 to 660 of the family's 1533-position model. The record is from RNAcentral.
CCUACGGGGGGCAGCAGUCGGGAAUAUCGCGCAAUGGAGGAAACUCUGACGCAGUGACGCCGCGUAUAGGAAGAAGGUCUUCGGAUUGUAAACUAUUGUCAUUAGGGAAGAGAAAGGACAGUACCUAAAGAGGAAGCUCCGGCUAACUACGUGCCAGCAGCCGCGGUAAUACGUAGGGAGCAAGCGUUAUCCGGAUUUAUUGGGUUUAAAGGGUGCGCAGGCGGAGGUGCAAGUCAGCGGUCAAAUUGCGGGGCUCAACCCCGUACUGCCGUUGAAACUGCAUCCCUUGAGUGCGCGAGAAGUAU